This is an RNA transcript of Halichondria panicea, 2575 nucleotides long. RefSeq lists it as uncharacterized. The transcript is spliced from 6 exons. Lineage: Eukaryota; Metazoa; Porifera; Demospongiae; Suberitida; Halichondriidae. The record is from RefSeq and is a predicted model, not a curated record.
AUUUUUAAUGGGCAAUCUUAGCUCCACCCACACAAUUUGUGAGUCAUGAUAAGCUAAUGAAGAAACCUUUGAUCUCUGCAAAGUGAUAAACAGUUCAUGAAUUUUGUGCCUCAAGAGUUGUCUACCCAAAUAGGGCUGUCUGGUCAAGCUAGCUCUGAGACUAUCUGCCUGUUUAGGUAACAAUAAUAAACUAUUAACAGUUAUAACAAGUGUACAACCAGCUAGCUACGUGUGCUCACCUACUGUGCAGAAUUGUGUGUUGUGCAUGAGAGCCUUGUAUCUAGAUACUAUAGCCUCAACUAUACAGUUACUAUAGAGCUGCACACACGACAUGAAUCAAGAGUCUAUUGCUAUUAAGUACAGAUAACUAGGUCUCCCAAAGAUGAUGAAUUGUUGAGACUGUGUGUUGUGGUUAAAUUCCAAGGCCUAGUGGCUGACGUAUACAGAUAUGAAGCUAUCAGAGAUAUUGCAAGCGUUUCAUGGCCUCGAGGCGUGCGAUCGUGUGGACCUCAUCUGUCGAAUGCUACGUCACUGUCUGGCAUUUGAAUCUUGAUUCUUUGGUACCGUAUUAUUAGACGCCUCUAAAGAGCAUUAUAAAUCACAAGUGAAUAAAAUUGAGAUACAUGCCAACAGAGUGAGCUACUACAAGCCCUUCCAAGAGUCAGGCCUCUCUCACCAAGUAUGUCUCAAACUGUGCAGUUCUCUGUCUGUUGUGCAUUCGGAUAAUCGACCUGUGGCUGAGGUCGUAUUCCAACUACUCAACGAUAAGAAAGUGCAGACGUUUUUUGAGGAUUGCAAUGAGCUCAAAGUGCUGAAGGAUUUCCGCCUCCUCUACGUGAUGGCUGUGAAUCACCCUGCUCUCUCAUUGAACCAGCGUCAGCUACUCAUGUACACAUACCUGCAACGAAUGGACCUGCUCUUUAUAGAGAAGUCAAAGUACUCCUUCUCUGGAAGCUUCUCAGGAUCUGUGGAGUGGCCCAGUUCAUGCACGUGCUGAGACAGAGGAUCCAGCUGGGGGCCACUGAGUCCAUCUACCUCAUGGUCAAUGGCCUCACUCCCACCACCAGCUGGAUCACACCGACUACAGGAGAGUCGACUGUGACCUGUUUGUAGAAGAGCAUCAGUUUAAGGGAGGCCUUGUGUGGCUUCACUUGCACUCUGUACCCCCUGGACGGGAGGAGCGUGCGUGUGUCCAAGUCACCAGGAGCAGUGCUGUCACCAGGUGAGUAGGUGGCUGGUAGGAGGAGGAUUGUGUAUAGGGCUGCCUUUGAGAGGAGUGUACAUACAAGCUAUUAUAGUGUGUCCCAGCCUUACAAGCUGAGGGGACAUGUGUUAGGGUUAGGUACCUUAGGACUUUUGAUCUGGCAGCUUUAACAAGACUUAGGCUAUUUAUUAUCAAGGGCGUACACCCUUGUUAUUAUCCAUGAGAACCAAAGCAACUGAAUUGAAAGUGAUAGCUAAGAGUACCAGUGUGAAGGAGGGAGGUUCAUUGAGGUGUACUGGCAUGGCUGUCUUAUAUAUAGUGACAUCCUUCUUGUUCUUCAAUACACUGUAGAGGUGGUGUGGCCAAAUUGGCAAAUACCGUAUAGCGGAUAUUUCGAGGGUAUAAAUGUUUGUGGUUUUCGCUGAUCAAGCAUCUACCGCGAACAUUUAUACCCACGAAUUUAAUAUCGCACGCAUACACGCUGCAGAAAGACUGCUAUUCUGAAUUCCCGAAAACCUUUUAAACGGUCAAUCCGCGAAAGUGUAUACCCUCGAAAUAUACCCACUAUACGGUAGUUUUAUCACUCAAAUAUGAAAUUUGAUGAUAUCAUUUUAGAGAAGAAGAUCUUUUGGAACGGGUCAUAAUUAGGGUUAGGUAUAGGACUUUUGAUCUUGUUAUUUCUAUUUUCACUUCAUGUGUAUGUAUUUAUAGUCUUGUGGUCAUGUGCAAUACUAACAGUGGUUGUGUUGUGUGGGCAGUAUAUUGUACGUAGGUACAUGUACAGUUGCUAAAAAGCUACAAACACUCUGCCAAUCUAAUUACAACAUACUGAAAGUAGUAUCAAUUGAGUUUACAAUGUGUGUGUACAUGUACAGUACUGUGUGUGUGUGUGUGUGUGUGUGUGUGUGUGUGUGUGUGUGUGUGUGUGGUGUGUGGUGUGUGUGUGUGUGUGUGUGUGUGUGUGUGUGUGUGUGUGUCCAGGGUCUGGAGGGUGAGGGGAUGCCAGUGUUCAGGAGGCCUCAUGUCAAGGGCAACCUCUAUGUUCAGUUCACCAUCCAAUUCCCUGACUCUGCUUUCCUCGAGGAGAGUCAACUAAAGGAGUUGAAGUGUUUCCUGCCCACAAGACCUGGCCCCACCAGCACUGGACCCAGAGGCAGAGGAAGUGGAUAUGAUAGAGAGUGAGGGGACGAGGGGAGUGGGCGGGGCACAAGGGGGUGGAGCCAUAUACGAUGAAGAUGAGGAGGAUGAAGGAGUGGGCAGGGCACAGAGGGUGGGCUGCUCUCAACAAUGACACUCUUAGGAACUCUAUAUUCACUGCUUUGAUUGUAUUUAUGGACUGGUUUUGUGGUUAUUGCUAUUGUUCUAAUUAUG